RNAcentral lists this transfer-messenger RNA (350 nucleotides) under Dehalococcoidia. RNAcentral's name for it is "RH-chloro-G1 sp003670575 Standard tmRNA". It matches the Rfam family "transfer-messenger RNA". From Rfam's summary of the family: Bacterial tmRNA, also known as 10Sa RNA or SsrA, is named for its dual tRNA and mRNA-like properties. Its role is to liberate the mRNA from a stalled ribosome. RNAcentral also lists the same sequence under 1 other name. The record is from RNAcentral. Lineage: Bacteria; Bacillati; Chloroflexota.
GGGGACGACAGGAAUCGACAGGGGCUGACGGACACGGAUUGCGGGCCGAGGCGCCAUCACCCUCGUUAAUCAGGUGGCAAAAGGUAACUGGCGACACUCAACUCGCCCUCGCUGCCUAGGUAGCGACGUUUCAGCCGGCCUCACCCUGACGGGCCGGAUUGAAGCGACGAUUAGUCAGGGCGCUCUGCUCGGGCGCGCCGCAGGCGCGAGCGGCUAAGACUUCUGCUGCUGGCCGGUCGACCUCUCGUCAGUGGAGAGCGACCGGUGAGAUCAACCACUGGCUACGCCCGUAGCAGAUACGUGACGAAGGUUCGCUGGACGGGGAGUUCAAUUCUCCCCCGUCUCCACCA